Molecule: ribosomal RNA, 252 nt
Filed under: uncultured bacterium
Lineage: Bacteria
Description: partial small subunit ribosomal RNA
Rfam family: Bacterial small subunit ribosomal RNA
Source: RNAcentral
AGGACGAACGCUGGCGGCGUGCUUAACACAUGCAAGUCGAGCGGAAAGGCCCUUCGGGGUACUCGAGCGGCGAACGGGUGAGUAACACGUGAGCAACCUGCCCCUGGCUCUGGGAUAGCCUCCGGAAACGGGGAUUAAUACCGGAUAUUCACUGUCUCCUGCAUGGGGGGUGGUGGAAAGUUUUUCGGCUAGGGUGGGCUCGCGGCCUAUCAGCUUGUUGGGGGGUGACGGCCCACCAAGGCGACGACGGGU